This is a non-coding RNA of Arachis ipaensis, 2549 nucleotides long. The record is from RefSeq and is a predicted model, not a curated record. Lineage: Eukaryota; Viridiplantae; Streptophyta; Magnoliopsida; Fabales; Fabaceae.
CUCUUCGAUCUUGUCACCUUCCAAAGUAUCUUUGCUAACAAACUUGUCAACCGUUGCUCAUGUGGCUUCCGCGCAGUAAUCAAUGCGUAAGACACAAGAAUCCACAUCACAUUGGUUUCAUCAAAUAUACAAAUACAAAUACCAUUUGUUGAUUAUAUGAACAUCUACAAACUCAUCAUCUUCUUUGUUUUACACCAUCAGAAACCACCAUGAUAUCAUCCUUAAAGUACACAGCACCCUCACCCCUCGCCGGCUCUGCUGCAUUCUCCUGCAGAAAGCGUGUUCCUGUUCCAAGGCUACCACCCUCUAUUCAAAAUCUUCAACAAAGCACUGCACUACCCUCUUUCUCUUCCCAUAAACCACUUUACAUUAUUCCAUGCACUCAGAACCUCACAUUGUCAACUAAACCUAGAAGGAAGGUUGCAGAGUGUCAUGCCUAUGAGGCAGAUAAGUCACAACCACAAGCAGCAGGGACAUCAGAGGCGGCUCAGAAGCUCAAGAUUGGUUUGUAUUUUGCUACAUGGUGGGCACUGAACGUUGUCUUCAACAUAUACAACAAGAAGGUUCUCAAUGCUUUUCCUUACCCUUGGCUCACUUCCACUCUGUCCCUCGCCGCAGGCUCUCUUAUCAUGUUCAUCUCCUGGGCCACAAGGCUCGCUCAUGUCCCUAAAGUUAACAUGGAUUUCUGGAAGGCCUUGUUCCCGGUUGCAGUAGCACACACCAUUGGGCAUGUUGCAGCUACUGUGAGUAUGUCCAAAGUUGCAGUGUCAUUUACUCACAUCAUCAAGAGUGGAGAACCGGCUUUCAGCGUCCUAGUAUCGAGGUUCUUGCUCGGCAAAUCGUUCCCUAUACCGGUUUACUUAUCACUGGUGCCAAUUAUUGGAGGUUGUGCUCUUGCUGCUGUGACCGAACUCAAUUAUAAUAUGAUCGGGUUUGUGGGGGCUAUGAUAUCAAACUUGGCAUUUGUGUUUAGGAACAUAUUCUCAAAGAAGGGAAUGAAGGGCAUGUCUGUUAGUGGAUUGAACUAUUGUGCUUGCCUUUCCAUAUUGUCUCUAUUGAUUCUCAUACCUUUUGCCAUUCUUGUGGAGGGUCCUAAGAUGUGGGCUGUUGGCUGGCAAACUGCCCUCUCUCAGAUUGGUCCAAAUUUUGUUUGGUGGGUAGUUGCUCAGAGUGUGUUCUACCACUUGUGUAAUCAAGUCUCUUGCAUGUCUCUUGAUCAAAUAUCUCCCUUGACAUUUAGCAUAGGGAACACAAUGAAGAGAAUUUCAGUAAUUUUCUCUUCCACACGCCAAUUCAUCCCACCAAUGCAGUUGCUGCUGCGAUUGCAAUUCUUGGCACCUUCCUUUAUUCACAGGCAAAACAGUGAGGCCUAAUUCAGAAGCUAAGUUAAGUGAAUGCUUAUUCAGGGAUGGAGCUAGAACUAUGAGCCUGUCAGUGAUAGUGAGAACAGUUGAUGUUACUAAUCAUGUUUUGAUCUUUGUCAUUGUAGACGAAAUUUUCGUUUCUUUCGUGUAAUCUAAGGCUGAGAAGAAUUUACUUUGAUUCAAUAAGGACUAAGAACGAACUCUGGAAUUCUCACCCAAUGACAGCAUUUGAGGAUAGUUCAACAUUGUGCAAAUGUCUUAAUUACAAAAAACUAAGCUUUCAAGUUUGGAAAGAUCUUGUAAAGAACCCAAGAAUACCUCCAAGGAUUGCAAUGCAAGCUCUUAUUUCCCAAAAAGCAAAAAUCCCAUCAAGUCUUUUUGCAAUUAAUGGAAGUCGCAUAAUGCAAGAAUAAUACCUGAUUAUGAGGCUCGGCUCCAGUCAUAACAGUUGGCAUCACAACAGUUGGCACAAUUUCAUCCCACCACAAACGACCAAAUGUCUGUGUUUUGUUCCAAAACAGGUCCAUAACCAUUUACAGUAGGAUCAUUCAUGAUUCCCAAAGAGUUGUUCACUUCAGGAGUUUCCUCCUCCAGGGGUUGUGUGGAGUCAUUUGUGUAUUUGCUAGGAAGAAUUUUCUCAUUGUAUGAACCUGGAAUUGCAUUUCCAGAAGCAACAAUGGAAGAAUAAAGGCAGUUGCAUGGCUGAUACAUGAUGCAGAUUGCAAAGAUUCACAAGGAUCAUCAUUAGACAAAUAGGAUUCAGUACCGCUGACACUCUUAGUUCUCCAUGGUCCAGUGUUGGAUUCAAGCCCCUGAGACUUUUCACUGCUAGGAGCAACGAAAUCAGGAACUGUUGAGAUUGACCUCUGAAUGGUUGAUGUUGUAUUAGGAAGAGGCAGACUGUUAAGCGGAAUUUAUGGGAAGAGAUUCCUUCAUCAGCAAGAAAAGAUGUCUCCAAAGCCAGAUGGUAAGCUGCAAAAACUGCAUACUGAACCACAUGCUUUACCUCCUUCAAUUCUUCCUCAUCAGCACCUUUAAGUAAAAUCUGUUCAACGAUGUCAAAAUUAGAAAAAUAUUAAUGUGUAGUUGGUAGUAAUGACAAUUAAGUUAUAUUUUUUCCUUAAGAAAGACACAUGCCUUGUGGUUGCUAGUGCACACACAUUUUACAUGAUUUGUAAUUUACAA